GGAGAAGGCUAUGUUGGCCGGGCGACGGUUGUCCCGGUUUAAGCGUGUAGGCUGGUUUUCCAGGCAAAUCCGGAAAAUCAAGGCUGAGGCGUGAUGACGAGGCACUACGGUGCUGAAGCAACAAAUGCCCUGCUUCCAGGAAAAGCCUCUAAGCAUCAGGUAACAUCAAAUCGUACCCCAAACCGACACAGGUGGUCAGGUAGAGAAUACCAAGGCGCUUGAGAGAACUCGGGUGAAGGAACUAGGCAAAAUGGUGCCGUAACUUCGGGAGAAGGCACGCUGAUAUGUAGGUGAAGUCCCUCGCGGAUGGAGCUGAAAUCAGUCGAAGAUACCAGCUGGCUGCAACUGUUUAUUAAAAACACAGCACUGUGCAAACACGAAAGUGGACGUAUACGGUGUGACGCCUGCCCGGUGC
RNAcentral lists this ribosomal RNA (415 nucleotides) under Escherichia coli. RNAcentral's name for it is "partial 23S ribosomal RNA". It matches the Rfam family "Bacterial large subunit ribosomal RNA", at positions 1474 to 1869 of the family's 2925-position model. Lineage: Bacteria; Pseudomonadati; Pseudomonadota; Gammaproteobacteria; Enterobacterales; Enterobacteriaceae. The record is from RNAcentral.